AGGAAAUUGAUGGGCCUGCAUCUGUGAAUGGAAGGCUCAGUAGGAUUCUAAACACGUGAUUGGAAGAAUACACUCUACCCACAUUGUGCAUCAUUUUAACCAAUUUGUGAAGCUAACUCACAUGUCCGGAUGUCAGGAUUGCGUUGAAGAUGGACAUCCAGCACACUAAAUACCUCACCUGUCUGAUCUGUCAGUCAGCAGAGCUGGAGACAUGUGAUGGGAUCUGGCAUGCCUGGAAGAUUACCUAGAAAGCAGGAAUGGACGGAGUUGGUGCAAGGGCAAGUGAAGUUGGCACUGGGAGUCAGGAGGUGCACAGCUAUCCAGCAUCCUUAAUUUCAGCAACAAGUCAGCCAUUCUCAGAACAACUAGAAACAGCCUAACUUGACUGGGGGCAGGGUGAAAGUGGAAGGAGAAAGCCCCCCCCCCAUUUCUUUCAGCAUGUGGAAGAAGCCUUUCCAAUGCCUUACCUAAACAGCAGAGACUUCUAGAUUUCACAAGCAGCCAUGCAGUCUGCUUAAAGUGCUGCCUUUUUUCUUUUCCUUCCCCCAACUGACUGGUACCAGCUCUGGGGGAUGCCAGCUCUAUCCUUCGGGGGAUACCGCAUUUCCUUACCCCGCUGCUGCUGCCACCAUGUUAGCACAAAACUCUAGCCCUCUGCCCAGCUGUUUCCCCCUGCCCACUGCCACC
Molecule: long non-coding RNA, 687 nt
Organism: Hemicordylus capensis (graceful crag lizard)
Lineage: Eukaryota; Metazoa; Chordata; Lepidosauria; Squamata; Cordylidae
Exons: 3
Source: RefSeq, a predicted model, not a curated record